GGGAAAGAUAGUUUUACUUAUCAUGUUGGAAAUAGGAAAAGAAAUUCAAAUUAGCUAGUACUUGUUAUAAGAUUAACAUUACAAUUAUAAGAGUUAAACAAACCAAAUUUGUCAGUCAUAGGCUUUCCCCUCGAUUAGAAAGAUUUUAUAUUGCUAGAGGAAAAACGAACUAUCUAACUCUAAUAUCCUUGGUAUUCUCCCUGCUGAGAAAGAUCCGGAUUUAACACCAGAGCUGCUAUGAGAGGAGUUAAACUGGGAGGGACUUUAUUAUUAUCAUAUUUGGUGCAUAAUUGUAGUAGUUCUUGCAGUUUAUUUGUUUCUGAACUACUUGAAUAUAAGAACUCUUGCUUCGUUCUGCAUCUACGUGGCGGUUACAUGUCAAUAAUCUUGUGGAUGACAUUCUUUAGCUUCUUUGUAAUUUCACUGUUUCAGUCUAAUUUCAUCGUCCUCUAAAGUGUUGUUUCCACUUGUAGUUCCAUAUAUUUCUCAGGAGAACUUCUGAGAAAGAAAAGAAAAAAAAACAUAUUCCAACUUGUGAAGCUCUUGAAUAUCAUGGACAGUGACCAUGAGCUGGCUUGGUUACAUCCCCUAUUGCUAACAUUGUGAAUAUUGUUAAAACUGUUAUCAGCAACCUCGGAGCAAUUAUAAACUUGGCAUGAGUUUUUGAGAACUCUAAAGGUCAGUGCUAUAUUCCUGCACACGUCUUUUAUCACUUACGGUGUUCCUCUUUUUGAUGCUGUUCUUUUAGGUACGUCAGAUUUAAGAGACGUCUUUCACCGAGUGGAAAUCUCUAACUCCGAUCAUAUAGUAGCAUUAUGUGGAGGCCUCAAACUGGUAUUAUAUAAUAUGGAUUUGCAUCAACAUACUGAUAUUUCUCACACAUAAAUUCUAUUUGUCUUAAGGUUCGUCUAUAUAUUGGGUUUGCUGCUGCAGGCCAGAAGAGCUGGUGCGAAGACUUUGCAAUUUGACAACUCAUACUUUAAGGAGCUCAGUGAGGAACCUCAUAUUGAUAAAGCUCUACGUGACGAUCCAGAAUCCCGCAGCUGUGUGCAACGUUAUGCAACGGAUGAAGAUGCUUUCAAAAGAGACUGCGUAGUGGCACACAAGAAGCUCUCUGAGCUUGGAUUACCGCAUUUAGCAUUUGACAAUAACACGUUACGUUCGAAGAACAUGCCGGUGACAGUGACACAAAGGGCUGUUGGAGUUGCUGUUGCAGCCGUUGUUGCAAUAUUCAGUGUCUUCUAUCUAAUCAACAGGAGGAGAGCUAAUAAGUAUUCGUCACAGUUGUUCCACUAACAUUGGUCGACGAGACUCAACAGAAAGAAAUAGUAAACCAGAAACUGAAUUUGAGCAAGAAUAAAAGAGACUGUUCUCCACUGAAUAGCUCCAUGUUUCAUCAAUAAUAAAUCUUAAGGAUAUCUCCAUGUUGCAUCAAUAACUUGA
Molecule: long non-coding RNA, 1443 nt
Organism: Lycium ferocissimum
Lineage: Eukaryota; Viridiplantae; Streptophyta; Magnoliopsida; Solanales; Solanaceae
Exons: 3
Source: RefSeq, a predicted model, not a curated record